CCAGAACCAGUCCCAUGAUUGUGAUCAACAAGAGCAUGAAGACCAGACUGCAGAGUAUAGACAGGAGGAUUCAGAGACUGAACGACCUUCUUCCUCAGAUCAAACUCAGGCACAAUGAAAAACUAAGCCAGGAGAUUGAAUGUCUCAGCCAAAAGUUGAAGUUUCUCCAUAAGAGAAUGCAGGUGGCAGACUCUCACACCUGGAAAGGCGUGCUGACCAGAGCCCCUCUGUGGUGAACCAAUGUCCACAAUUCCAGCUGACAGA
Long non-coding RNA from Stegastes partitus (bicolor damselfish), 264 nucleotides. RefSeq lists it as uncharacterized. The transcript has 4 exons. The record is from RefSeq and is a predicted model, not a curated record. NCBI's taxonomy places the organism in Eukaryota, Metazoa, Chordata, Actinopteri, Pomacentridae.